RNAcentral lists this ribosomal RNA (578 nucleotides) under Stenotrophomonas sp. StRD624. RNAcentral describes it as "bacterial SSU rRNA". It matches the Rfam family "Bacterial small subunit ribosomal RNA", at positions 102 to 676 of the family's 1533-position model. RNAcentral also lists the same sequence under 3 other names. Lineage: Bacteria; Pseudomonadati; Pseudomonadota; Gammaproteobacteria; Lysobacterales; Lysobacteraceae. The record is from RNAcentral.
ACGGGUGAGGAAUACAUCGGAAUCUACUUUUUCGUGGGGGAUAACGUAGGGAAACUUACGCUAAUACCGCAUACGACCUACGGGUGAAAGCAGGGGACCUUCGGGCCUUGCGCGAUUGAAUGAGCCGAUGUCGGAUUAGCUAGUUGGCGGGGUAAAGGCCCACCAAGGCGACGAUCCGUAGCUGGUCUGAGAGGAUGAUCAGCCACACUGGAACUGAGACACGGUCCAGACUCCUACGGGAGGCAGCAGUGGGGAAUAUUGGACAAUGGGCGCAAGCCUGAUCCAGCCAUACCGCGUGGGUGAAGAAGGCCUUCGGGUUGUAAAGCCCUUUUGUUGGGAAAGAAAUCCAGCCGGCUAAUACCUGGUUGGGAUGACGGUACCCAAAGAAUAAGCACCGGCUAACUUCGUGCCAGCAGCCGCGGUAAUACGAAGGGUGCAAGCGUUACUCGGAAUUACUGGGCGUAAAGCGUGCGUAGGUGGUUGUUUAAGUCUGUUGUGAAAGCCCUGGGCUCAACCUGGGAACUGCAGUGGAAACUGGACAACUAGAGUGUGGUAGAGGGUAGCGGAAUUCCCGGUGU